UGCUUCCUGGGGUGUUCGAUAUCUUGUCACGUCCCUCGAGCCGAUAAUUAACAGUAUGGAUUUCUUCAGUGGAUAUUGUGUGCAGGUCCGUUCUCGGAAAGCCUAAUAUAUCUCGGAGAUCUCCUCCUUGAACCUUCGGGUUCAGGGCCACGAUAAGUAACGGCGCCUUGGGGAGUCC
This 178-nucleotide non-coding RNA is filed under the name Neptunomonas marina. RNAcentral describes it as "6S / SsrS RNA". It matches the Rfam family "6S / SsrS RNA". From Rfam's summary of the family: E. coli 6S RNA was the first non coding RNA to be sequenced, but its function was unknown until recently. It consists of 184 nucleotides that fold into an extended hairpin structure with a large single-stranded internal bulge. Lineage: Bacteria; Pseudomonadati; Pseudomonadota; Gammaproteobacteria; Oceanospirillales; Oceanospirillaceae. The record is from Rfam by way of RNAcentral.